GCCCCUCUCGAUCCCUGAGACCCUAACUUGUGAUGUUUUCCGUUUAAAUCCACGGGUUAGGCUCUUGGGAGCUGCGAGCCGCG
RNAcentral lists this microRNA precursor (83 nucleotides) under Eptesicus fuscus (big brown bat). RNAcentral's name for it is "microRNA efu-mir-125a precursor". Its record names the gene efu-mir-125a. The stretch from base 6 to 76 matches the Rfam family "lin-4 microRNA precursor family", at positions 1 to 71 of the family's 80-position model. From Rfam's summary of the family: The extents of the hairpin precursors are not generally known and are estimated based on hairpin prediction. The products are thought to have regulatory roles through complementarity to mRNA. The record is from miRBase by way of RNAcentral. Lineage: Eukaryota; Metazoa; Chordata; Mammalia; Chiroptera; Vespertilionidae.